UGGGGAAUAUUGCACAAUGGGGGAAACCCUGAUGCAGCGACGCCGCGUGAAGGAAGAAGUAUCUCGGUAUGUAAACUUCUAUCAGCAGGGAAGACAAUGACGGUACCUGACUAAG
This 115-nucleotide ribosomal RNA is filed under the name uncultured bacterium. Its description in RNAcentral is "partial 16S ribosomal RNA". It matches the Rfam family "Bacterial small subunit ribosomal RNA", at positions 355 to 487 of the family's 1533-position model. The record is from RNAcentral.